This 3479-nucleotide unclassified non-coding RNA is filed under the name Bactrocera latifrons. RNAcentral's name for it is "lETM1 and EF-hand domain-containing protein anon- 60Da, mitochondrial, transcript variant X3". Lineage: Eukaryota; Metazoa; Arthropoda; Insecta; Diptera; Tephritidae. The record is from RNAcentral.
UCGAGUAACUUCGUUGUGCGUAUUUGGUGAUUUUAUCAUCAGUUUAGAAUCGAAUGAGUUCAAUGAGAAUCGAAUAAAAUUAACAUAAAAAUCAGAAAACGUACCGAUGUACGGUUAGUAAAAUAAAUACAAUAAAUAAGUUAUUGGCUAGAAAACGUGACGGAAAUACUGUGAAACGAAAAGAAGCUGCAAUCAAAACGCGGUCGCGAAUUUAAAUACAAUAUUUUGUGCUACAAUAAUAAACAUAAAGCUGGCAAAAAAGAAAAAUCGACAGUAUAUAAGAAAUUGUAAACAGAAACGUUUGGAUAAAAGGGCAAACAAUAAGGACAAAGACAAUAACAACAAUGAACACAUUCGUACGUCAUCAGCCGAAAAUCCUGCGUAACGGGCAGACCUGGAUGACAUUCAGCAAAGAUGGAAAUAGAAAGUACUCCACACCACAAUAUUUACCCCGCUAUGCGCUGCGACGACUCAAUGGCAGUUCGGCAAGUUCAAGUUUAUGGACGGGCGGCAGUUGUACAGGUGCACAAGUUGGAAUGCAGUCAAUGUUGCUUUCCCGUUGGAAUGAUAUCAGUGAAUCCAGCUAUCACNCUGAGAACAGCGGAUUGUAUUACACAACCAGAAAAUUCCAUUUAUCACGUCGUUUAGGUGAAAAUGCUUCGUCAAAAGUUGAAGUGACAGUCAAAACGAUGAAGGAAAAACAAAAAGAAAAGGUCGAAGAGAUCAUAAAGGAAGCCAGCGCUCCGGCAGUUACUAAAGCGGUCGGUGAACCAGUAGAAACUGGAAAAGCAGUUGUCGCUGAGCCACCAAAAGCUGUUAUCGCUAAAAAACCGCUGGGCACACGUAUCUGGGAAGAGUUGGUGCAUUAUUAUCAUGGAUUCCGGUUGCUUUUUAUCGAUAUAAACAUUUCACGUAAACUACUAUGGCGUAUACUUAAUGGAAAGACGCUUACGCGUCGUGAGAAUAAACUACUUUUGCGCACCACCUCUGAUCUGUUCCGACUGAUACCCUUUUCGGUGUUCCUAAUCGUGCCGUUCAUGGAAUUGCUCUUGCCAUUCUUUAUACGUUUCUUUCCGGGCAUGUUACCGUCCACGUUUCAGACCGCCAAGGAUCGCGAAGACAAACUGAAACAAUCACUGCAAGUACGUCUCGAGAUGGCGAAAUUCUUACAAAAAACACUGGACGAAAUGGCUGUGCAGCAUAAGGAUCACAAAAGUGAGGAUGCCAAACAAUUUGCUGAAUUCUUCGAAAAGAUAAAGGAUCCCAAAGAGCACGUAACAAUUGAAGAGAUCAUCAAGUUCGCUAAACGCUUCGAGGAUGAAGUCACAUUGGACUCUUUGUCGCGCGAACAAUUGGCCGCUUUGUGUCGCGUGCUCGAGCUUAACACCAUGGGCACCAGCAACUUGCUACGCUUUCAAUUGCGCGUUAAAUUGCGUUCGCUUGCCGCCGAUGAUCGCGUAAUUGCGCGCGAAGGUGUCGACGCAUUGGAUCUAUUUGAAUUACAACAGGCUUGCAAGGCACGCGGUAUGCGUGCCUAUGGGCUGACAUCGGAAAAGUUNCGCUCACAGUUGCAGGAAUGGAUUGACCUGUCGCUAAAUGAAAAGGUACCACCGACGCUACUCUUACUGUCACGUGCACUACUGAUUUCCGAAGAAGCCGCAACGACGCAUAAACUGGUCGAGACACUUCGUGUACUACCCGAAGCAGUGGCGACAAAGACGAAGGAAAAGAUUGGCGAAAGCGAAGGUAAAAUCGAUAACAAAACCAAGAUUGAGGUGCUUAAAGAAGAAGAGCGUAAAAUUAAAGAAGAGCGUGAGGAAGAACGCGAGGCUGAAAAGGCCAAAUUGGAGGAGGAAAAAGCAAAGGAAAGCGAAGAAUUGCUCAGCAAAGUACCAUAUUUACAUUCUAGCACUUCGUCUAUCACCGAGGAGCGUAAAAAAGCAGAAGCCAGCAAUAAUAUAUCCUCAAAAGACGUGGAAUUACUGUCCGAUGCACUAAAAUCAUUGUCGACCGAUAAGAAGAUGAUGGUUGAGAAAGAGACACUGAAAGAUCUCAAAGAGGAACUUGAAGAUUACAAGGAAGAUGUGGAAGAACUGCGUGAAGUGCGCAAUGUAGUGAAGGAACCAGUGCACGAGAGUCGCGCAGCGAAAUUGCUCUUCAAGAAGGUGAAUAGCAUGAUAGGACACUUGGAUAAGGUGUUAGUGGAUUUGGAGAAGAAGCGCGAAAGUAAGCAAAAGAAAAUUAAAGCAAGCACGGAAGAAGUUUUGGCUGGACCCUUACAAAGUCAGGAACUUACACUAGACGAGGAUACUGUGCACAUCGAAGAGCUGAUGAAUACUAUAAAGAAGUUGCAAAAGACAUCCGAUGAAACGCGUUUGAAGCAAAUCGAAAAAGUGCUUAGCAAAAUCGAUGCCGACAAAGAUGGCUUGAUCACCGUGGAUGAAGUGCUGAAUGUCGUUGAAGCGAUCAGUCGCGAAAACGUGAACUUGUCAGACAAACAAAUCGAGGAAUUGGUGACAUUGCUCGAUAAGGAGAACAUCAUAGAGGCGGAGGAACGCUUGGAGAAGGCCAUUGCGAAGAGCAUUAAAUUGGCAGAGAAACAAAUUAAAGAUCAACAAAAACUGGUUGAAGAACAGAAGACCGCAGAUGUGCUGAAGGACACUGCACCAGAGCUGAAGGAUAAUGCCAAGGACUUGAGUGCAGAUUGUCAAACGAAGGUUUUAAAAACGGAGGUAAACAACGAGAAGAGUCCACUCUUGGAGGCUGCAGAAAAGCAAAAAGAGAAGAUACUCCCGAAAAAUGAUAUAUCCGCGCAAAUACCACAACAGCCGCUACCCGCACCACCACCGCCAACAACAGCGACCCAAGUGAAUCCAAAAGAUAAAAUGCUAUGAUUUGAGGAUGAUGGUGCUAAACCCAAAAAACAAACCCCAGAUAACAGUCGUUGAAGCAAGUAAAAUUGUGUUGAAAACAAGGCAAAACACUAAUAAAAAAAAAACAUUUGACGACCUGGUUGUUUUAGGGACAUAAAAUGUAGAGUGCAAGCGUGAGUGUGUGCUGUGUGAUAAUGAAAAAUGUGAGCUAGAUGAUUGUUGGCGGAAACCCGAAAGGUGUAAAUGCUUCAUGAUAUCAUUGAUUGCUGCCUCAAAUCGGUAUUAUAUAUAGCUUUGCAAAAUGUAUGCUCACGGUUUCCAGUAGUAACAAUAAAAGAACUUAAAAUUUCAAAAUGGGUUCCUAAGCAUUAACUGAAAACACUAAAUAUGUAUAAUAUAUGCAAUUGCUUUAGUUGUGCUAUAGCUACUAAACAUACCAAUUUAUGUACAUAUGUGUAUGUAUGUAUGUAUAUAUGUCUAACCGCGAUACUUCGAUGCACAUGAAUUUAUGCUUUAAUUUUAAUUAUUUGUAAAUUACAAACUUGUAUAUUAUGAAAUUCUAAUGAUAUAAUUGAGUACAAUAAAAACGACAUAUAAAAACACGAA